Molecule: ribosomal RNA, 447 nt
Filed under: uncultured bacterium
Lineage: Bacteria
Description: bacterial SSU rRNA
Rfam family: Bacterial small subunit ribosomal RNA
Source: RNAcentral
UGCCAGACUCCUACGGGAGGCAGCAGUGGGGGAUAUUGCACAAUGGGGGGAACCCUGAUGCAGCGACGCCGCGUGGGUGAAGAAGCGCCUCGGCGCGUAAAGCCCUGUCAGCAGGGAAGAAAAUGACGGUACCUGAAGAAGAAGCCCCGGCUAACUACGUGCCAGCAGCCGCGGUAAUACGUAGGGGGCAAGCGUUAUCCGGAUUUACUGGGUGUAAAGGGGGCGCAGACGGCCAUGGCAAGCCCGGCGUGAAAGGCAGGGGCAUAACCCCUGGACUGCACUGGGAACUGUCAGGCUGGAGUGCCGGAGGGGUAAGCGGAAUUCCUGGUGUAGCGGUGAAAUGCGUAGAUAUCAGGAGGAACACCGGCGGCGAAGGCGGCUUACUGGACGGCAACUGACGUUGAGGCCCGAAAGCGUGGGGAGCAAACAGGAUUAGAUACCCCAGUA